RNAcentral lists this unclassified non-coding RNA (216 nucleotides) under air metagenome. RNAcentral describes it as "partial contains small subunit ribosomal RNA, internal transcribed spacer 1, and 5.8S ribosomal RNA". The stretch from base 1 to 46 matches the Rfam family "Eukaryotic small subunit ribosomal RNA", at positions 1786 to 1831 of the family's 1831-position model. The record is from RNAcentral.
AAGUCGUAACAAGGUCUCCGUUGGUGAACCAGCGGAGGGAUCAUUACCGAGUACUACACUCAUAACCCUUUGUGAACCUUUAUACCUGUUGCUUCGGCGGCGCGCCUCCCGGGGCGUGCCCGCCGGCAUUAUCAGAAUCUCUGUUCGAACCCGACGAUACAUCUGAGUGUUCUAAGCGAACUGUUAAAACUUUCAACAACGGAUCUCUUGGCUCCA